ACGGAAGGCAGCAGUGGGGGAUAUUGCACAAUGGGGGAAACCCUGACGCAGCGACGCCGCGUGAGUGAAGAAGUAUUUCGGUAUGUAAAGCUCUAUCAGCAGGGAAGAAAAUGACGGUACCUGACUAAGAAGCUCCGGCUAAAUACGUGCCAGCAGCCGCGGUAAUACGUAUGGAGCAAGCGUUAUCCGGAUUUACUGGGUGUAAAGGGAGCGUAGACGGUUUGCCAAGUCUGAUGUGAAAGGUGGGGGCUCAACCCCCAAACUGCAUUGGAAACUGGUAGACUAGAGUGUCGGAGAGGUAAGUGGAAUUCCUAGUGUAGCGGUGAAAUGCGUAGAUAUUAGGAGGAACACCAGUGGCGAAGGCGGCUUACUGGACGAUAACUGACGUUGAGGCUCGAAAGCGUGGGGAGCAAACAGGAUUAGAUACCCUGGUA
This 434-nucleotide ribosomal RNA is filed under the name uncultured Lachnospiraceae bacterium. RNAcentral's name for it is "partial 16S ribosomal RNA". It matches the Rfam family "Bacterial small subunit ribosomal RNA", at positions 341 to 792 of the family's 1533-position model. Lineage: Bacteria; Bacillati; Bacillota; Clostridia; Lachnospirales; Lachnospiraceae. The record is from RNAcentral.